CCUACGGGUGGCAGCAGUGGGGAAUAUUGGGCAAUGGGCGCAAGCCUGACCCAGCAACGCCGCGUGAAGGAAGAAGGCUUUCGGGUGGUAAACUUCUUUUGUCAGGGAAGAGUAGAAGACGGUACCUGACGAAUAAGCCACGGCUAACUACGUGCAAGCAGCCGCGGUAAUACGUAGGUGGCAAGCGUUGUCCGGAUUUACUGGUUGUAAAGGGCGUGUAGCCGGGUUGACAAGUCAGAUGUGAAAUCCUGCGGCUUAACCGCAGAACUGCAUUUGAAACUGUUGAUCUUGAGUACUGGAGAGGCAGAUGGAAGUCCUGGUGUAGCGGUGAAAUGCGUAGAUAUUAGGAGGAACACCAGUGGCGAAGGCGGUCUGCUGGACAGCAACUGACGGUGAGGCGCGAAAGCGUGGGGAGCAAACAGGAUUAGAUACCCGUGUAGUC
RNAcentral lists this ribosomal RNA (442 nucleotides) under uncultured bacterium. RNAcentral describes it as "partial 16S ribosomal RNA". It matches the Rfam family "Bacterial small subunit ribosomal RNA", at positions 338 to 795 of the family's 1533-position model. The record is from RNAcentral.